This 570-nucleotide long non-coding RNA is filed under the name Homo sapiens (human). Its description in RNAcentral is "non-protein coding lnc-FYB1-5:1". Lineage: Eukaryota; Metazoa; Chordata; Mammalia; Primates; Hominidae. The record is from RNAcentral.
AUUUUGCAAUUUCUCAUGCCAAUAAAAAAGAAUGCUUCAAUUUUACAAGAAGUAUUCAGGUUUUGAUAAUCAUUUUUUUUAAAAAAAAACCCAAACUCAGAAUGUCUAAGUGUGUGACAGGAAUAUUUAAUAUUUUAUAUUCUCAAGUCAUCACCCCAAGUAUGCCAUCUAAUCCAUAUCUGUAGGGAAAUCUAUUUUUAAAGUAAGUGAUACCUUGGAGGAAAAAUAGAUACAUCAUGAUUACAGUUUUCAUCACACCAUAAUCUUUUAUUUUAGAAUUAAGGAGAAGUAUCCUCAAACAUUUGAUGACAUAUGCCUUUACUCUGAGGUUUCCCAUUUGCUGUCACACUGCACAUUCAGACUUCCGUGUCGGAGGUUCAUACAAGAAUUAUUUCAAGAUGUACAGUUUCUACAAAUGCAUGAAGAAGCAGAGGCUGUGUUGGCAACACCACCAAAGCAACCUAUAGUUGAUACAUCUGCUGAAUCCUGACCUCAUAUUUAUGAUGGAUAUAGAUACAUACUAUAUAUAUUCAUAUUUGUGGAUUUCCUAAAAGCCUCAGAAAAUACGAC